AUUGAACGCUGGCGGCGUGCCUACCACAUGCAAGUCGAGCGGUAACAGGUGUAGCAAUACAUGCUGGSGAGCGGCGWWCGGGUGAGUAAUGCUUCGGAAUCUACCUUAUGGUGGGGAAUAACUAGUCGAAAGAUUAGCUAAUCCCGCAUACGUCSUACGGGAGAAAGCAGGGGAUCGUAAGACCUUSCGCCAAAAGAUGARCCGAAGUSGGAUUAGCUAGUUGGUAGGGUAACGACCUACCAAGGCGRCGAUCCGUAGCUGGUCUGAGAGGACGACCAGCCACWCUGGAAGUGAGACACGGUCCAGACUCCUACGGGAGGCAGCAGUGGGGAAUAUUGGACAAYRGGGGAAACCCUGAUCCARCGACGCCGCGUGUGUGAAGAAGGCCUSCGGGUUGUAAAGCACUYUUAGUGGGGAUGAAAUGUGCAGAGUUAAUACCU
RNAcentral lists this ribosomal RNA (440 nucleotides) under bacterium Ellin5279. RNAcentral describes it as "partial 16S ribosomal RNA". It matches the Rfam family "Bacterial small subunit ribosomal RNA", at positions 30 to 469 of the family's 1533-position model. The record is from RNAcentral. Lineage: Bacteria; Pseudomonadati; Pseudomonadota; Gammaproteobacteria.